RNAcentral lists this transfer RNA (71 nucleotides) under Loxodonta africana (African savanna elephant). It matches the Rfam family "tRNA". Rfam says of the family: Transfer RNA (tRNA) molecules are approximately 80 nucleotides in length. Their secondary structure includes four short double-helical elements and three loops (D, anti-codon, and T loops). Further hydrogen bonds mediate the characteristic L-shaped molecular structure. tRNAs have two regions of fundamental functional importance: the anti-codon, which is responsible for specific mRNA codon recognition, and the 3' end, to which the tRNAs corresponding amino acid is attached (by aminoacyl-tRNA synthetases). tRNAs cope with the degeneracy of the genetic code in two manners: having more than one tRNA (with a specific anti-codon) for a particular amino acid; and 'wobble' base-pairing, i.e. permitting non-standard base-pairing at the 3rd anti-codon position. Lineage: Eukaryota; Metazoa; Chordata; Mammalia; Proboscidea; Elephantidae. The record is from Rfam by way of RNAcentral.
GCAGAGGUGGUUCAGUGGUAGAACUCUUGCCUUACGUCUAGGAGAGUCAGGUCUGAUUCCUGGCCAAUGCA